AUGCACUCCAGUCUCUGCCUUUGUCAUUCACUGGACUUGUGCCUAUGCAUCUUCACGUCCUUUGUUUCUCUACAGGUCUUCAGACAAACUCAACCAAUUGUCAACAAGAAAAUGUCUAAAUUCACCUAUAGCCUGGAAGCUCCCCUGCUGUGCUCUGGCUUUGAAUUGCCCCCUUUCUGGACUAAACCAAUAUAUUUCUUAAAUGUAUUUGAUUGAUGUCUCAUGCCUCUCUAAAAUGUAUAAAUCCAAGCUGCGCCCCUACCACCUUGGACACCUGUUCUCAAAACGUCCUGAGGGCUGUGUCCUAUGCCAUAGUCACUCAUAUUUGGCUCAGAAUAAAUCUCUUUAAACAUUUUACAGAGUUUGAUUAUUUUCACCAACACUAUGUCCUUGCAUUGCCUUUAUUUUGUGCAUGAAUAUCUUCGGUUUCUGUUUCUUUUCUGUCUUUUUUUUUUCUUAAGAGUUGGGGUCUCAUCCUGUCACCAAGGCUAGAGUGCAGUAAAGGGAUCAUACACGCACUGUAACCUAAAACUCCUGGGAUCAAGUGAUCCUCUCACCUCAGUCUCCCAAGUAGCUGUGUUUCUCUUCUUACAAGAUCACCAGUCAUAUGAAAUUAGGAUUCCACCCUACAGACAUCAUUUUAACUCAGUUAUAUCUUAGGAGAUCCUAUCUCCAAAUAUAGUCACAUGGAUUAGGACCCAAUCCAUAUGACCUUAUUUAACCUUAAUUACUUUUUUAAAGAUCCUAUUUCCUAAUACAAUUAAAUUAUUAUGUACUUUUAGAUUGGUGCAAAAGUAAUUUGGUUUUGAAUAUUAAUGGCUUUGUAAUAGAGUUUAACACUUAAAUAUAUGAAUUUUGGUGAGGGGUGGGGGGCAGCACGAUUCAGCCUAUAGGUGUCAUGACACCUAUAAUUUGGUAAUUUAAGGCUACUAUAAAGUAUUCAUAUUUUGGCAUAUGACAGCAAGAAUACAAGGAUGUUCUAUCUUUUCCAAAUUGUCCAGAUACUGACACUUGUGUCUAAUCAUAUAGCAAAAUGGCUGUAAUAGAAUUUCUCAUUUUUUACCCACGCAAAGAUCCAAUCAUUGGAAAGUAAACUCCAUGGGUCAGGAUGUGGAAAAACAGGUACUUAACUUGUUGAUAGAGGGAACAUAACGUUACAAUCCCUAUGAAAGACAAUUUGGCAAACUCUAGGAAACUUACAUAGCAUUUCCAAUCAGAAAUCAUUGUACUUUCAUUCAGAAAACUACUUCAAAGAAUAUUUUUCAAAAAUAUGCUACCAAAUGUCUAAAAAUAAUAAUCAAGACAACCCAUUGCACUAAUCUUUAUUUUAUUUUACUAGUAUUAAAAUAUUGAAAAUAACUAAAAAAUAUUAAUAUGAGACAGUUAAAGAAACCAUGGUAUAUUUACAUAAUAAACAAUUAUGCAACUGGAAAAAGGAAUUAAGAACAUAUCCAUGUAUUGCUGUGACUCAGGAUAUAUCACCGUGAGAAAGCAGGGUUGAAGACAUUGUGUAUGGAGUGCUACUACUUAUUUAAUAAAUUAUAUAAAUUAUUUCAAAUUUUAAAAUGGCUAUCGAUAGAAGGAGUAGAGUUAUGUCGGAAUGAACAGAAAAAAAUUACCAUUUGCAAAGAUAACUUUUUUGUUUUUUAAAGCUUUAUUGGGCUAUAAUUGACAUCCAAUAAACUAUGCAUAUUUAAACUGUACCAUAUACUAAGUUUUGAAUAUGUACAUGUUUAUAAAACCAUCACCCAAUCAGGGUAAUAAACAUAUCCAUCACCCUCAGAAGUUUAUUUGUUAACUCACCAUCUCCCUUUUUUUCAUAUACCCCACACAUUUCCAAACAACCACUUCUAUCAUGUUUUCUGUCACUAUAAAUCAUUGUAUUUUCUAAAAUUAUAUUUGAACAUAACCAUGUAGUAUAUAAUUUUGUUUUGUCUGGCUUCUUUCAAUGAGAAUAACUAUUUUAAUAUUUAACUAUAUUGUUGCAUGUAUUGAUAAGUCAUUCAUUUUAUUUCUCAGUAGUAUGCCUUUAUAUUACCAUACCACAAUUUGUUAUUCAUUCACAUGUUGAUGGAUAUUUGGGUUGCUUCCAGUUUGGGGCUAUUACAAAUAAAGCUAGCGUGAACAUAUGCACACAGGCCAAUGUAUGAAAUGUGGUUUUGUUUCUCUUGGUAAAAUACCUAGGAGUGAAAUGGACAGGUCAUACAGUACAGAUAUGUUUUAUUUUUUAAGAAACUGCCUGUAAUCUAAGGAUCAUUGAGUGUCAGCUUGAUUGGAUUUAAGGAUGCAAAGUAUUGUUUCUGGGUGUGUCUGUGAGGGUGCUGUCAAAGGAGUUUAAAAUUUGAGUCCGUGGACUGGGAGAGGCAGGCCCACCCUUAAACUGGGUGGGUACCAUCUAAUUAGCUGCCAGCUUGGCUGGAAUAAAGCAAGCAGAAGAUGUGAAGGGAAGACUUGCUGAAUCUUAUGGCCCUCAUCUUUCUCCAAUCCUGGAUGCUUCCUGCCCUCAAACAUCAGAAUCCAAAUUCUCCAUUUUUUGGACUCUUGGACUUACACCAGUGAUUUGCUAGUAGCUCUCGGGCCUUCGGCUGAGGCUGAAGACUGAAGCCUGCACUGUCAAAUUCCUUACUUUUGAGGUUUUGGGAUUGAGACUGGCUUCCUUGCGCCUCUGCUUGCAAAAGGCCUACUCUGGGACUUCACCUUGUGAUUGUGUGAGUCAAUACUCCUUAAUAAACUCCCCUUCAUAUAUACAUCUAUCCUACUAGUUCUGUUCCUCUAGAGAACUCUAAUACACUGCCAAACGGUUGUACCAAAAAAGCAGUUGUGCAAUGAGCAGCUUAUGAGAGAGUUUCCAUAUCCUGCAGCAACAAAUACAUCUCAAAAACUUCAAAGACUUAUAACUAUAAAAAUUACAUCUCUCGCAAACAUUGCAUAGGGUGAUCACAUAGGGAAAUUAAGGUAUUAGUUUCCAAAGAGGAAAAGGAAACUAGGGGGGAACAAGAAAUGUAUGUGUACCACAGAAAUCUCAGUAAUAUAACUAAUAUCAUUAGCCUAGAAAAUAACAGAAACAUAGUUGGAAAGUCUCCAAACUCUUGGAAACUAAAUAAGACACUUUUAGAUAAUCCCUGACUCAAAGAGAAAGUCUUAAAGGAACUUAAAAAAAUGCAUUGAAUGUGAAUAAAAAUGAGAAUAUAAUGAAAGUUGUGGACCUAACUGUAGUAGUGCUGAGGGAAAUGUCUAGCAUUGAAUACAUACAUUAAAAUAGAAAUCUCACAUUAGUAAUCUAAGGUCAGACCUUAAGGAGCUAGAAAAAGAAGAGAAAAAUAAUUCCAAAGAGAUCUUAAGGAAGAAAAUAAUAAAGGUAACCUCAGAAACCAGUAAAAUUGAAAGUAGAAAAACAUUAGAGAAAAUCAAUGAAACAAAGUCUUGUUCUUUGAAAUGUCAAUAAAGUUGUCAAACUCCUAUCAAGACUGAAAAAGAAAAAACCAACAAAUUAUCAAUAUUAGGAAUGAAACAGGAGAUACAAAUACAGACCAUGCAGAAAUAAAAAGGCUAAUUUAGGAAGACUAUGAACAACUCUACACUAUACAUUUGAGAAUGCAAACAAAAUGAGUCAAUUUCUCAAUAAACAAAAACUAGCACAACUUACACAAUAUUUAGUAGAUAACCUGAAAUAUUCUAAUAUUAGUAAGAAACUUAUAUUUGUAAUUAAUAAAUUUCCAAAAAGAAAUCUCCAAGUUGAGAUGGCUUUGUUGGAGAAUUCUACCAAAUGUUUUAAGAAUUAACAAAAUUUUUUCUCAGUCUCUUUCAGAAACUUGAAAUGAAGGAAUAAUUCUCAAUUCAUUUGGUGAAGUUAGUGUAACCCAAUACAAAAAGUAGACAAAGACCGCACAAGAAAGGAAAACUAUAGGCAAAUAUCUCUCCUAAAUACAGACGCAAAAAUUCUUAAAAUAUUAGCAGUUAGAAUCAGCAUUAUCAAAUAAUUUAUAUUCUGAUCAACUGGAAACCAGGAAAUAGAACAAAAUGACAAAAAUGAGACAAUAAAGAGGUCAUGAAAUAAUUGAAAAUGAAACAAUGUAAUCUCCAAACAGAUACAUAUGCAAUCUCAGUUUGUGUUACAAAACACAACUCAAUCUUGAGCUGUCUGUUAUAGACUCAAGAAAAAUUGAUUUAACAAGGUCAAGAGACAAAAAGGAUGGGCAAAAUUAUAACAUUCAAAUACAGACAAAACAAAUUGGGAUUCAUACUAAUAUUAAAUAAACCAGAGUUCCAGGUUAAAAAAAUUAAAGGACAUACAGCAAGAAGCUUUUGUUGAAGAUAUCAUGACCAUAUUUAGGCAGCUUGCAAUAAAAUAUAUAAGACAAAAACUGUUGGAAACAUAAUAAAUUUAAAGAAAUACAAAAAAAUGGCAAGACUUUAAUCUUUGUCAGUCCUUGAUUAUUCAAAGUAAAUGCAGAGGGUUGUGGUAUAAGUCUUAAGGAUUCAAGCAAAAACUAAAUUAGGUAAAACUUAAAUAAAUAUAAUGGAUCACAAGGUCAGAAGCUCCAGACCAGCCUGACCACCAUGGCAAAAUCCCGUCUCUACUAAAAAUACAAAAUUUAGCUGAGUGUGGUGGUACAUGCCUGUAACCAGGAGGCUGAGACAGAAAAUUGCUUGAAUCUGGGAGGCGGAGAUUGCAGUGAGCCGAUAUACUACCACUGCACUCCAGCCUGGGUGACAGAAUGCGACUAUCUCAAAAAAAAAAAAAAAAAAGAAAAAAAUUUCCCUAUGCUAAGAAGUUCUAUAAGCUAAGAAGAUUGUAAAGACCUUCAAAUCUUCCAAAGAGUCAAGGAUAAAUUCCAAAAGUGAAUUCUGUGGAGUAAUGGAAAAUAAAUUAUACUAAAUCCCAGAAGUCAUGGAUUCUUUCUUACUCCUAUAAACUGUAUUUGUGCAAGCCACUUAACCUUUCUCAGCCUCUAUUCCUGUUCUGUAUAAAAAGGAAAUAGCAAUGUCUUUUUCCCAAAGUUGUUAUGAAUGUUGAAAUAAAAUGAAAAUAUAAAAAGUUUCUGUGUGCCUGAUGAGCUUCU
Long non-coding RNA from Callithrix jacchus (white-tufted-ear marmoset), 5063 nucleotides. NCBI's taxonomy places the organism in Eukaryota, Metazoa, Chordata, Mammalia, Primates, Cebidae. The record is from Ensembl.